UACGUAGGGCGCAAGCGUUGUCCGGAAUUAUUGGGCGUAAAGAGCUCGUAGGCGGCCAGUUGCGUCUGCUGUGAAAUCCCGGGGCUCAACCCCGGGCGUGCAGUGGAUACGGGCUGGCUGGAGGCAGGCAGGGGAGAACGGAAUUCCCGGUGUAGCGGUGAAAUGCGCAGAUAUCGGGAGGAACACCGGUGGCGAAGGCGGUUCUCUGGGCCUGUACUGACGCUGAGGAGCGAAAGCGUGGGGAGCGAACAGG
Molecule: ribosomal RNA, 253 nt
Filed under: uncultured bacterium
Lineage: Bacteria
Description: partial 16S ribosomal RNA
Rfam family: Bacterial small subunit ribosomal RNA
Source: RNAcentral